UAUAAGUGCAAGCGUGAGUUUUCGUAUCCAACAUUUGACCGUCCGUUUUAUUUGAAAAAAAUAUAAUUAGUAUUUUUAUUCUUAUUAUAUAAUAAAAUAUGAAUAAUACUUUAUAUAUAACUAUUUUUUAAAAAAAAUAAUAAAAUUUUUAAAUAAGAAGGAUGGUCAAAUGCUGGAUAUGGAAAACCAUAGCUAUAUUUAUA
Oryza meridionalis is the source of this 203-nucleotide non-coding RNA. NCBI's taxonomy places the organism in Eukaryota, Viridiplantae, Streptophyta, Magnoliopsida, Poales, Poaceae. The record is from Rfam.